RNAcentral lists this ribosomal RNA (422 nucleotides) under uncultured prokaryote. Its description in RNAcentral is "bacterial SSU rRNA". It matches the Rfam family "Bacterial small subunit ribosomal RNA", at positions 355 to 774 of the family's 1533-position model. The record is from RNAcentral.
UGAGGAAUAUUGGUCAAUGGGCGGAAGCCUGAACCAGCCAUGCCGCGUGCAGGAAGACGGCCCUAUGGGUUGUAAACUGCUUUUGUACGGGAAUAAUAAGGGUUACGUGUAAUCCGAUGAAGGUACUGUAUGAAUAAGCAUCGGCUAACUCCGUGCCAGCAGCCGCGGUAAUACGGAGGAUGCAGGCGUUAUCCGGAUUUAUUAGGUUUAAAGGGUGCGUAGGUGGCCAGGUAAGUCAGUGGUGAAAGUUUGCAGCUUAACUGUAAAAUUGCCAUUGAUACUGUUUGGCUUGGAUUUGGUAGAAGUAGGCGGAAUGUGUAGUGUAGCGGUGAAAUGCUUAGAUAUUACACAGAACACCGAUUGCGAAGGCAGCUUACUAUGCCACGAUCGACACUGAGGCACGAAAGCGUGGGGAUCGAACA